AUUGAACGCUAGCGGCAUGCUUUACACAUGCAAGUCGAACGAAUGGCGGACGGGUGAGUAAUAUCUGGGAACGUGCCUGGUAGCGGGGGAUAACUACUCGAAAGGGUAGCUAAUACCGCAUACCAUCGGAUCGGCCGAGAUGGGAUUAGCUAGUAGGUGGGGUAAAGGCUCACCUAGGCGACGAUCCCUAGCUGGUCUGAGAGGAUGACCAGCAACACUGGGACUGAGACACGGUCCAGACUCCUACGGGAGGCAGCAGUGGGGAAUAUGGCACAAUGGGCGCAAGCCUGAUGCAGCCAUGCCGCGUGUGUGAAGAAGGCCUUCGGGUUGUAAAGCACUUUCAGCGGGGAGGCGUUACUCGCAGAAGAAGCACCGGCUAACUCCGUGCCAGCAGCCGCGGUAAUAC
This 406-nucleotide ribosomal RNA is filed under the name uncultured bacterium. RNAcentral describes it as "partial 16S ribosomal RNA". It matches the Rfam family "Bacterial small subunit ribosomal RNA", at positions 30 to 526 of the family's 1533-position model. The record is from RNAcentral.